UGCAAGUCGUGCGGACCUUUUAAAAGCUUGCUUUUAAAAGGUUAGCGGCGGACGGGUGAGUAACACGUGGGCAACCUGCCUGUAAGAUCGGGAUAACGCCGGGAAACCGGGGCUAAUACCGGAUAGUUUUUUCCUCCGCAUGGAGGAAAAAGGAAAGACGGCUUCGGCUGUCACUUACAGAUGGGCCCGCGGCGCAUUAGCUUGUUGGUGGGGUAACGGCUCACCAAGGCAACGAUGCGUAGCCGACCUGAGAGGGUGAUCGGCCACAUUGGGACUGAGACACGGCCCAAACCCCUACGGGAGGCAGCAGUAGGGAAUCUUCCGCAAUGGACGAAAGUCUGACGGAGCAACGCCGCGUGAGUGAAGAAGGCCUUCGGGUCGUAAAACUCUGUUGCCGGGGAAGAACAAGUGCCGUUCGAACAGGGCGGCGCCUUGACGGUACCCGGCCAGAAAGCCACGGCUAACUAC
Molecule: ribosomal RNA, 468 nt
Filed under: uncultured bacterium
Lineage: Bacteria
Description: bacterial SSU rRNA
Rfam family: Bacterial small subunit ribosomal RNA
Source: RNAcentral